AUUGAACGCUGGCGGCAGGCCUAACACAUGCAAGUCGAACGAGUGGCGGACGGGUGAGUAAUGUCUGGGAAACUGCCUGAUGGAGGGGGAUAACUACUGGAAACGGUAGCUAAUACCGCAUACCAUCAGAUGUGCCCAAAUGGGAUUAGCUAGUGGGUAGGGUAACUGCUCACCUAGGCGACGAUCCCUAGCUGGUCUGAGAGGAUGAACAGCCACACUGGGACUGAGACACGGUCCAGACUCCUACGGGAGGCAGGAGUGGGGAAUAUUGCACAAUGGGCGCAAGCCUGAUGCAGCCAUGCCGCGUGGAUGAAGAAGGCCUUCGGGUUGUAAAGUACUUUCAGUCGGGAGGCGUUACCCGCAGAAGAAGCACCGGCUAACUCCGUGCCAGCAGCCGCGGUAAUUC
RNAcentral lists this ribosomal RNA (406 nucleotides) under uncultured bacterium. RNAcentral's name for it is "partial 16S ribosomal RNA". It matches the Rfam family "Bacterial small subunit ribosomal RNA", at positions 30 to 526 of the family's 1533-position model. The record is from RNAcentral.